AUUGAACGCUGGCGGCAGGCCUAACACAUGCAAGUCGAACGGUAACAGGAAGAAGCUUGCUUCUUUGCUGACGAGUGGCGGACGGGUGAGUAAUGUCUGGGAAACUGCCUGAUGGCGGGGGAUAACUACUGGAAACGGUAGCUAAUACCGCAUAACGUCGCAAGACCAAAGAGGGGGACCUUCGGGCCUCUUGCCAUCGGAUGUGCCCAGAUGGGAUUAGCUAGUAGGUGGGGUAACGGCUCACCUAGUCGACGAUCCCUAGCUGGUCUGAGAGGAUGACCGGCCCCCCUGAACCUAGGACACGUUCCAACCUCCUACGGAGGGAAGCGGUGGGAAAUUUUCCCCAAUGGGCGAAAGCCGGAGGAAGCCAGGCCGCGUGAAUGAGGAAGGCCUUCGGUUUGUAAGUACUUUCAGCGGGGAGGAAGGGAGUAAAGUUAAUACCUUUGCUCAUUGACGUUACCCGCAGAAGAAGCACCGGCUAACUCCGUG
This 489-nucleotide ribosomal RNA is filed under the name uncultured bacterium. RNAcentral's name for it is "partial 16S ribosomal RNA". It matches the Rfam family "Bacterial small subunit ribosomal RNA", at positions 30 to 507 of the family's 1533-position model. The record is from RNAcentral.